Molecule: ribosomal RNA, 373 nt
Filed under: uncultured organism
Description: bacterial SSU rRNA
Rfam family: Bacterial small subunit ribosomal RNA
Source: RNAcentral
CGUAGGGUGCAAGCGUUGUCCGGAAUUAUUGGGCGUAAAGAGCUCGUAGGCGGUUUGUCGCGUCGACUGUGAAAACCCGAGGCUUAACCUCGGGCCUGCAGUCGAUACGGGCAGACUAGAGUUCGGUAGGGGAGACUGGAAUUCCUGGUGUAGCGGUGAAAUGCGCAGAUAUCAGGAGGAACACCGGUGGCGAAGGCGGGUCUCUGGGCCGAUACUGACGCUGAGGAGCGAAAGCGUGGGGAGCGAACAGGAUUAGAUACCCUGGUAGUCCACGCCGCAAACGUUGGGCGCUAGGUGUGGGGGUCUUUCCACGAUCUCCGUGCCGCAGCUAACGCAUUAAGCGCCCCGCCUGGGGAGUACGGCCGCAAGGCUA